Molecule: non-coding RNA, 26 nt
Filed under: Callithrix jacchus (white-tufted-ear marmoset)
Lineage: Eukaryota; Metazoa; Chordata; Mammalia; Primates; Cebidae
Also listed under: 2 other names
Source: RNAcentral
UAUGAGAAGAUCCUGAAGCUCACGGC